This 76-nucleotide transfer RNA is filed under the name Camelus dromedarius (Arabian camel). It matches the Rfam family "tRNA". From Rfam's summary of the family: Transfer RNA (tRNA) molecules are approximately 80 nucleotides in length. Their secondary structure includes four short double-helical elements and three loops (D, anti-codon, and T loops). Further hydrogen bonds mediate the characteristic L-shaped molecular structure. tRNAs have two regions of fundamental functional importance: the anti-codon, which is responsible for specific mRNA codon recognition, and the 3' end, to which the tRNAs corresponding amino acid is attached (by aminoacyl-tRNA synthetases). tRNAs cope with the degeneracy of the genetic code in two manners: having more than one tRNA (with a specific anti-codon) for a particular amino acid; and 'wobble' base-pairing, i.e. permitting non-standard base-pairing at the 3rd anti-codon position. RNAcentral also lists the same sequence under 1 other name. The record is from Rfam by way of RNAcentral. Lineage: Eukaryota; Metazoa; Chordata; Mammalia; Artiodactyla; Camelidae.
GAGGAUAUACCUCAAUAGUAGAGUGCAUGCUUAGCAUGCAUGCAUGAGGUCAUGGGUUCAAUCCCCAGUACUUCCA